UACGAGGGGGGCGAGCGUUGUUCGGAAUUAUUGGGCGUAAAGAGCUCGUAGGCGGCUUGUCGCGUUGUCCGUGAAAACUCACAACUCAAUUGUGGGCGUGCGGGCGAUACGGGCAGACUGGAGUACUGCAGGGGAGACUGGAAUUCCUGGUGUAGCGGUGAAAUGCGCAGAUAUCAGGAGGAACACCGGUGGCGAAGGCGGGUCUCUGGGCCGAUACUGACGCUGAGGAGCGAAAGCGUGGGGAGCGAACAGG
This 253-nucleotide ribosomal RNA is filed under the name uncultured bacterium. RNAcentral's name for it is "partial 16S ribosomal RNA". It matches the Rfam family "Bacterial small subunit ribosomal RNA", at positions 524 to 776 of the family's 1533-position model. The record is from RNAcentral.